UACGGAGGGUGCAAGCGUUACUCGGAAUCACUGGGCGUAAAGAGCGUGUAGGCGGGUAGUUAAGUCAGAAGUGAAAUCCAAUAGCUCAACUAUUGAACUGCUUUUGAAACUGAUUACCUAGAAUAUGGGAGAGGUAGAUGGAAUUUCUGGUGUAGGGGUAAAAUCCGUAGAGAUCAGAAGGAAUACCGAUUGCGAAGGCGAUCUACUGGAACAUUAUUGACGCUGAGACGCGAAAGCGUGGGGAGCAAACAGGAUUAGAUACCCUGGUAGUCCACGCCCUAAACGAUGUACACUAGUUGUUGUGAGGCUCGACCUUGCAGUAAUGCAGCUAACGCUUUAAGUGUACCGCCUGGGGAGUACGGUCGCAAGAUUAAAACUCAAAGGAAUAGACGGGGACCCGCACAAGCGGUGGAGCAUGUGGUUUAAUUCGACGAUACACGAAGAACCUUACCUGGACUUGACAUAGUAAGAACUUUCUAGAGAUAGAUUGGUGUCUGCUUGCAGAAACUUAUAUACAGGUGCUGCACGGCUGUCGUCAGCUCGUGUCGUGAGAUGUUGGGUUAAGUCCCGCAACGAGCGCAACCCUCGUCAUUAGUUGCUAACAGUUCGGCUGAGAACUCUAAUGAGACUGCCUACGCAAGUAGGAGGAAGGUGAGGACGACGUCAAGUCAUCAUGGCCCUUACGUCCAGGGCUACACACGUGCUACAAUGGGGUAUACAAAGAGCAGCAAUACGGUGACGUGGA
RNAcentral lists this ribosomal RNA (745 nucleotides) under uncultured Arcobacter sp. RNAcentral's name for it is "bacterial SSU rRNA". It matches the Rfam family "Bacterial small subunit ribosomal RNA", at positions 524 to 1266 of the family's 1533-position model. The record is from RNAcentral. Lineage: Bacteria; Pseudomonadati; Campylobacterota; Epsilonproteobacteria; Campylobacterales; Arcobacteraceae.